GGCCGUGACGAUAACGGUCUCUCUUCUUUCCCAGUCCGAUUCGACCAUGACGACAUGGGGCUCUACCACGCGGCGCUACCUCCGGGCGCGUCGCUUUUCUUGCCAGUGGUCCACCCUUCAAAAAGGUGGCCUACUAUUACAAGUGUCCGAGCC
This 153-nucleotide small nucleolar RNA is filed under the name Lachancea thermotolerans CBS 6340. RNAcentral's name for it is "Small nucleolar RNA snR190". It matches the Rfam family "Small nucleolar RNA snR190". Lineage: Eukaryota; Fungi; Ascomycota; Saccharomycetes; Saccharomycetales; Saccharomycetaceae. The record is from Rfam by way of RNAcentral.